RNAcentral lists this ribosomal RNA (943 nucleotides) under Hyaloscyphaceae sp. RNAcentral describes it as "SSU rRNA". It matches the Rfam family "Eukaryotic small subunit ribosomal RNA", at positions 59 to 1012 of the family's 1831-position model. Lineage: Eukaryota; Fungi; Ascomycota; Leotiomycetes; Helotiales; Hyaloscyphaceae. The record is from RNAcentral.
UCUAGUAUAAGCAUCUAUACGGUGAACUGCGAAUGGCUCAUUAAAUCAGUUAUCGUUUAUUUGAUAGUACCUUACUACUUGGAUAACCGUGGUAAUUCUAGAGCUAAUACAUGCUAAAAACCCCGACUUCGGAAGGGGUGUAUUUAUUAGAUAAAAAACCAAUGCCCUUCGGGGCUCCUUGGUGAUUCAUAAUAACUUAACGAAUCGCAUGGCCUUGUGCCGGCGAUGGUUCAUUCAAAUUUCUGCCCUAUCAACUUUCGAUGGUAGGAUAGUGGCCUACCAUGGUUUCAACGGGUAACGGGGAAUUAGGGUUCUAUUCCGGAGAGGGAGCCUGAGAAACGGCUACCACAUCCAAGGAAGGCAGCAGGCGCGCAAAUUACCCAAUCCCGACACGGGGAGGUAGUGACAAUAAAUACUGAUACAGGGCUCUUUUGGGUCUUGUAAUUGGAAUGAGUACAAUUUAAAUCCCUUAACGAGGAACAAUUGGAGGGCAAGUCUGGUGCCAGCAGCCGCGGUAAUUCCAGCUCCAAUAGCGUAUAUUAAAGUUGUUGCAGUUAAAAAGCUCGUAGUUGAACCUUGGGCCUGGCUGGCCGGUCCGCCUCACCGCGUGCACUGGUCCGGCCGGGUCUUUCCUUCUGGGGAGCCGCAUGCCCUUCACUGGGUGUGUCGGGGAACCAGGACUUUUACUUUGAAAAAAUUAGAGUGUUCAAAGCAGGCCUAUGCUCGAAUACAUUAGCAUGGAAUAAUAGAAUAGGACGUGUGGUUCUAUUUUGUUGGUUUCUAGGACCGCCGUAAUGAUUAAUAGGGAUAGUCGGGGGCAUCAGUAUUCAAUUGUCAGAGGUGAAAUUCUUGGAUUUAUUGAAGACUAACUACUGCGAAAGCAUUUGCCAAGGAUGUUUUCAUUAAUCAGUGAACGAAAGUUAGGGGAUCGAAGACGAUCAGA